UACGUAGGGUGCGAGCGUUGUCCGGAAUUAUUGGGCGUAAAGAGCUCGUAGGCGGUCUGUCGCGUCGGUCGUGAAAACUUGGGGCUUAACCCUGAGCUUGCGGUCGAUACGGGCAUGACUGGAGUUCGGCAGGGGAGACUGGAAUUCCUGGUGUAGCGGUGAAAUGCGUAGAUAUCAGUGAAGAAGCCGGUGGCGAAGGCGGGUCUCUGGGACG
Molecule: ribosomal RNA, 214 nt
Filed under: uncultured bacterium
Lineage: Bacteria
Description: partial 16S ribosomal RNA
Rfam family: Bacterial small subunit ribosomal RNA
Source: RNAcentral